UGGGGAAUUUUGGACAAUGGGCGAAAGCCUGAUCCAGCAAUGCCGCGUGUGUGAAGAAGGCCUUCGGGUUGUAAAGCACUUUUGUCCGGAAAGAAAUCCUCUGGGUUAAUACCUCGGGGGGAUGACGGUACCGGAAGAAUAAGCACCGGCUAACUACGUGCCAGCAGCCGCGGUAAUACGUAGGGUGCAAGCGUUAAUCGGAAUUACUGGGCGUAAAGCGUGCGCAGGCGGUUUUGUAAGACGGAUGUGAAAUCCCCGGGCUUAACCUGGGAACUGCAUUCGUGACUGCAAGGCUAGAGUAUGGCAGAGGGGGGUUAGAAUUCCACGUGUAGCAGUGAAAUGCGUAGAGAUGUGGAGGAAUACCGAUGGCGAAGGCAGCCCCCUGGGCCAAUACUGACGCUCAUGCACGAAAGCGUGGGGAGCAAACAGGAUUAGAUACCCUGGUAGUCCACGCCCUAAACGAUGUCAACUAGUUGUUGGGGAUUCAUUUCCUUAGUAACGUAGCUAACGCGUGAAGUUGACCGCCUGGGGAGUACGGUCGCAAGAUUAAAACUUAAAUGAAUUGACGGGG
Molecule: ribosomal RNA, 571 nt
Filed under: uncultured bacterium
Lineage: Bacteria
Description: partial 16S ribosomal RNA
Rfam family: Bacterial small subunit ribosomal RNA
Source: RNAcentral